Molecule: long non-coding RNA, 679 nt
Organism: Alligator sinensis (Chinese alligator)
Lineage: Eukaryota; Metazoa; Chordata; Crocodylia; Alligatoridae
Exons: 3
Source: RefSeq, a predicted model, not a curated record
CCUCCUGCCUUGAAAGAAUAAAUUUGGCCAUGCCCUAGAAGGUAGCAUAAGGGCCUAGUGGGCUUCAGUGCAGGCUUCAAGGUGCCCAGGAGCAGAUGUCAGCACAGGAACAAGGGCUGUUUUCUUACCGGAGAAGUGGGGUUUUUUUUUCUCAUGACCACGACUACUCCCCUGGACUAAUCACCCAAGUCUGCAACCAGGAAAUAAAGAUGGAGGAACAAAAGACCAGAUGGGAGCAAUCGGUCUAAGGCACUUCCAUGCUCCCCACACUUUGUCUUCACCAGCAUGUUCUGCAAGUUGUUUGAGCAGCCAGAGCCCAUGUGGGGGUCUUUAUCCUGGUUUUUAGCCCUGGCCCUGAGGAAGGAGUGUGGUGUCUCUGCUCCCUUCAUGGAGACCCAGAGUUCCCACCAUGGCACAGGAGAGCAGUCUCUAAUGCUUCCCUCCACAUCCUUAGUUCUGCUGGCAAAACUUCCUGUGAAAAGGAGAGAGCGUGCUAUGAAGGACAUUCGCUAAAUGAGAGCUGAUUUAGUGGUUAUGGCAGUGGUGUCCACGUACUGUACGGCUGGCAAAUUUCAAUCUAAACUCCACGAUUCUGGAUGCAGCAAAAAGUGCACGUGGAUGAGAGACUAUUUCUGAAAGCCUGGAUACCUUUAAUUUUUUUUCCUCCUUUAAUAAAAGA